Molecule: non-coding RNA, 727 nt
Organism: Podarcis muralis (Common wall lizard)
Lineage: Eukaryota; Metazoa; Chordata; Lepidosauria; Squamata; Lacertidae
Source: RefSeq, a predicted model, not a curated record
UGCAGCACCUGACGGGUGCAAUUUCACACCUGGUGUCUGCCUUCCUUUUACCACAUCAGAACCAUUUGCUGGCAGAAGGCUUCCCGUUGCCUCUGGUGCAACAGCUUGGCGUCGACCAUCUCAACGCUGCCCCUGGCCAGAACGCUCUUCUGCUCUUCGCUCCCCCCUUGGCUUCCUGAAUGUGGGAAUCAAGAUCCUGACCUGAAUCAGACGGAAGGAUCCUGGAACAAGAUGGAUAAUGCUGCUGCUGCUGCUGCUGCUUCCCUUCCCUUCCCCCUUUACGCCUCUGCUUUCGUAGGAUUGUAGAAUGGGAAGAGACCCCGAGGGUCAUCUAGUCCACCCCCUGCAAUGCACGGGUCACAACUGAAGCACCCCUGACAGGCAGAGCUUUGGACCUCUGGAGCCUGUGACAUCCCUUGGCUCUCAUUCUCUCUCUCUCUGCCUCAGGGGCUCGAAAGCAGCAAUGGAUCCUUUGCAAUGCGAUUUCUGGAGCUAGAUUUGCCUCCUGCCAUUUGGGAAUGGCACAAAUGUCAAACCUAAAAGUGUUGGCACCUGAGUCUUGAGACCACAGGAAAUCCCGUAAGGCUGGCGUCAAAUCCUGCUCUUGGAAAACCUUGCCUUGAAUGUCUGUUGUUUGAAAGCAGUGGAGUGUUUGGCCCAGAGCCUUGCUGCAGGGUUCCCUCUGUGAAUUGCUAAGAUGUUCUGCUUGCUUAUCUUGCCUUGAUAA